GAGACGGAACAACGCUAUUUUCCGUGAUCGGUUCUAUCCAAAAACAAUAAUUAAGAUGAUGACAUACGCGAACAGUAAAGCAUUAAUAAUUGCAGUGAAUUCAUUCGUUUUUAUUGCCGGUGUUAUCUUGUUAAUUAUUUACCAUUGUACCAAUAAAGAUGACAAACUUCCAAAUUCCGAAGAAUGACUGUCAUGCCGUUGCCUUACGAAUUCGAUCAGACAUCGUUGCACAGCAAUUACAUAUUAUAUACUCAAUACAAUGUUAUAGCAUAGAAAUAUUAUAUUAUUGGCUUACAAAUAAAAUGAAUUGAUAAACAA
Molecule: long non-coding RNA, 318 nt
Organism: Drosophila elegans
Lineage: Eukaryota; Metazoa; Arthropoda; Insecta; Diptera; Drosophilidae
Exons: 2
Source: RefSeq, a predicted model, not a curated record